UGUGAGCAGGAAUGAAGGUGAGGUGUGAGCGGGGUACAGGUGAGGUGUGCGGCGGCUCCUCCGGGCUCGGACACGGGGAAAGCCGAGUUUGGUGUGGGCAGUGGGCACGGUGCCCGUGGGCUCCUGCGUGGGUUUGGGCACGGAAAGCAGCCUGGCCCGUGGUUGAGGAGCGAGCGAGCCCGGCUCGGCUGGGAGCUGCUGGCGAAGCUGCCCGGCCCGUUUGUGGGAUGGGGUUUGUUCCUCUCCUUUGGUGCGUUCGAUACUCUGCGAGUUCCAGCUUCUCAUCCGUGGAGUUUAAUCUGAAAGGUAAAGGACAGAAAGCACGCUAAGACCCAGACCGGGCAGGCUGUGAGGAAAAAAGGAAGGCACAGGCUGAGCCUCCACUUCCCAACGAGCUUGCAGUGCU
Molecule: non-coding RNA, 406 nt
Organism: Taeniopygia guttata (zebra finch)
Lineage: Eukaryota; Metazoa; Chordata; Aves; Passeriformes; Estrildidae
Source: RefSeq, a predicted model, not a curated record